GAUGAACGCUGGCGGCGUGCCUAAUACAUGCAAGUCGAGCGAACGGACGAGAAUCUUGCUUUUCUGAUGUUAGCGGCGGACGGGUGAGUAACACGUGGAAAACCUACCUAUAAGACUGGGAUAACUUCGGGAAACCGGAUCUAAUACCGGAUAAUAUUUUGAACCGCAUGGUUCAAAAGUGAAAGACGGUCUUGCUGUCACUUAUAGAUGGUUCCGCGCUGCAUUAGCUAGUUGGUAAGGUAACGGCUUACCAAGGCAACGAUGCAUAGCCGACCUGAGAGGGUGAUAGGCCACACUGGAACUGAGACACGGUCCAGACGCCUAAGGGAGGCAGCAGUAGGGAAUCUUCCGCAAUGGGCGAAAGCCUGACGGAGCAACGCCGCGUGAGUGAUGAAGGUCUUCGGAUCGUAAAACUCUGUUAUUAGGGAAGAACAGAUGUGUAAGUAAAUGUGCACAUCUUGACGGUACCUAAUCAGAAAGCAACGGCUAACUACGUG
This 497-nucleotide ribosomal RNA is filed under the name uncultured bacterium. RNAcentral describes it as "partial 16S ribosomal RNA". It matches the Rfam family "Bacterial small subunit ribosomal RNA", at positions 28 to 507 of the family's 1533-position model. The record is from RNAcentral.